CACAUACACACAGACACUCCAGGGAUUUACUGGAGCUGGGUUUUACUGAAAGAUGGGGGUUAUGAAUACCUGGCAGGUCUACCAAAAGCCCACGAGGGGGCUGCCUCUUCUUCUCCAUGAUGGGCUCUCCCUGGGCGGCUUUCGACGAGUGGGCUGAACUCCGUCUCGGCACGUCUGGACCCAGAGCGGUCAUGCCCCCCUGCGUGUGCUGCGGGGACAGGGACACACCUCCAGGGCCUGCCCUUCCAGCAGGAGCUAUAUCCCCCAGUUCUUUGGUCAACAGAGAGAAAGAAAAAGAAGAGAAGAAUGAGACGGAAUAACUAAUAAAUGAUUCAG
Long non-coding RNA from Electrophorus electricus (electric eel), 336 nucleotides. RefSeq lists it as uncharacterized. The record is from RefSeq and is a predicted model, not a curated record. NCBI's taxonomy places the organism in Eukaryota, Metazoa, Chordata, Actinopteri, Gymnotiformes, Gymnotidae.